RNAcentral lists this ribosomal RNA (933 nucleotides) under uncultured Methanotrichaceae archaeon. Its description in RNAcentral is "bacterial SSU rRNA". It matches the Rfam family "Archaeal small subunit ribosomal RNA", at positions 1 to 922 of the family's 1478-position model. The record is from RNAcentral. Lineage: Archaea; Methanobacteriati; Methanobacteriota; Methanomicrobia; Methanotrichales; Methanotrichaceae.
CCGAAUUCGUCGACUUCCGGUUGAUCCUGCCGGAGGUUACUGCUAUCGAGAUUCGACUAAGCCAUGCGAGUUGAAUGUUCUUCGUGAACAUGGCGGACUGCUCAGUAACACGUGGACAACCUACCCUUGGGUCCGGCAUAAUCCUGGGAAACUGGGAAUAAUUCCGGAUAGGUCACCGAUGCUGGAAUGCGCGGUGGCCGAAAGCUCCGGCGCCCGAGGAUGGGUCUGCGGCCUAUCAGGGUUGUAGUGGGUGUAACGUACCUACUAGCCUACGACGGGUACGGGUUGUGAGAGCAAGAGCCCGGAGAUGGAUUCUGAGACACGAAUCCAGGCCCUACGGGGUGCAGCAGGCGCGAAAACUUUACAAUGCGGGAAACCGUGAUAAGGGGAUCUCGAGUGCCAGCAUAUAAUGUUGGCUGUCCAGAUGCCUAAAAAGCAUCUGUUAGCAAGGGCCGGGCAAGACCGGUGCCAGCCGCCGCGGUAACACCGGCGGCCCGAGUGGUAACCGCUAUUAUUGGGUCUAAAGGGUCUGUAGCCGGCCAGGUAAGUCCCUUGGGAAAUCUGGCAGCUCAACUGUCAGGCUGCUAGGGGAUACUGUUUGGCUUGGGACCGGGAGAGGUGAGAGGUACCUUGGGGGUAGGGGUGAAAUCUUGUGAUCCUCGAGGGACCACCAGUGGCGAAGGCGUCUCACCAGAACGGGUCCGACGGUAAGGGACGAAAGCUAGGGGCACGAACCGGAUUAGAUACCCGGGUAGUCCUAGCCGUAAACGAUGCUCGCUAGGUGUCAGUCACGGUGCGACUGUGAUUGGUGCCGUAGGGAAGCCGUGAAGCGAGCCACCUGGGAAGUAUGGCCGCAAGGCUGAAACUUAAAGGAAUUGGCGGGGGAGCACUACAACGGGUGGAGCCUGCGGUUUAAUUGGAUUCAACGCCGGG